This 488-nucleotide ribosomal RNA is filed under the name uncultured bacterium. RNAcentral's name for it is "partial 16S ribosomal RNA". It matches the Rfam family "Bacterial small subunit ribosomal RNA", at positions 28 to 507 of the family's 1533-position model. The record is from RNAcentral.
GACGAACGCUGGCGGCGUGCUUAACACAUGCAAGUCGAACGCGCCUGUCCUCUGGGUUUCUGGGGGGUGGGUGAGUGGCGAACGGGUGAGUAACACGUGAGUAACCUGCCCCCUUCUUCGGGAUAACGGUCUGAAAGGGCUGCUAAUACCGGGUAUUCACUGGUCUCCGCAUGGGGUCUGGUGGAAAGGUUUUUUUCUGGUGGGGGAUGGGCUCGCGGCCUAUCAGCUUGUUGGUGGGGUGAUGGCCCACCAAGGCUUUGACGGGUAGCCGGCCUGAGAGGGUGACCGGUCACAUUGGGACUGAGAUACGGCCCAGACUCCUACGGGAGGCAGCAGUGGGGAAUAUUGCACAAUGGGCGCAAGCCCGAUGCAGCGACGCCGCGUGAGGGAUGGAGGCCUUCGGGUUGUGAACCUCUUUCGCCCGUGGUCAAGCCGCGACGUGGGUCGUGGUGAGGGUAGUGGGUAAAGAAGCGCCGGCUAACUACGUG